UUAUCUGUAACGUAGUAAACACAUGAAUUAAUCAUAAAGCACUAAGUACAACGCAAAUGUGUCUGUAGGCAGUACAAAUUAGUCAUCGGAGACAUUAAUAAUACUACAAGUCCAUUGUGAAAUUCAUUUGACGCAUAAAAGGGUGCAGGAUGUAGGGGCGUUGGUGAUCUGCCGCCUGCCUGCUUUUGCACCGCUGCUGCUGGUGACUGCUGGUUUUGCAAUUCUUGUGCGUAGUGUUUAUUAAUUACUUUGAAGACAACACCGAACGCACCCUUAGCCACGAGAUGUACAAUGUGGAAGUGUUCGUUGCGACUGGCCUCCUUAAAGUGUGAACUGAAUAUGGCAUUGGUGAGCGGCGUGUGCCAUUGAGUUUUGGAUCGCCGCUGCUGAGCUGAAGUUAAACUGCAAAUAAUAAACAUUAAACUACAUUAACAACAAUAAACGAGUUUACAUGAAUAUUAAAAAAGAAAAUAAUAAUUUCUUUUGCAUUGUAUUGAAAAACAA
Long non-coding RNA from Rhagoletis pomonella (apple maggot), 504 nucleotides. RefSeq lists it as uncharacterized. The transcript has 2 exons. Lineage: Eukaryota; Metazoa; Arthropoda; Insecta; Diptera; Tephritidae. The record is from RefSeq and is a predicted model, not a curated record.